GGGGAAUAUUGCACAAUGGGCGAAAGCCUGAUGCAGCAACGCCGCGUGGAGGAUGAAGGCCUUCGGGUUGUAAACUCUUGUCUUCUGGGACGAUAAUGACGGUACCAGAGGAGGAAGCCACGGCUAACUACGUGCCAGCAGCCGCGGUAAUACGUAGGUGGCAAGCGUUGUCCGGAUUUACUGGGCGUAAAGGAUGCGUAGGCGGAUAUUUAAGUGGGAUGUGAAAUACCCGAGCUCAACUUGGGUGCUGCAUUCCAAACUGGAUAUCUAGAGUGCGGGAGAGGAGAGUGGAAUUCCUAGUGUAGCGGUGAAAUGCGUAGAGAUUAGGAAGAACACCAGUGGCGAAGGCGACUCUCUGUACCGUAACUGACGCUGAAGCACGAAAGCAUGGGUGGCAAAC
Molecule: ribosomal RNA, 400 nt
Filed under: uncultured bacterium
Lineage: Bacteria
Description: bacterial SSU rRNA
Rfam family: Bacterial small subunit ribosomal RNA
Source: RNAcentral